RNAcentral lists this ribosomal RNA (263 nucleotides) under uncultured bacterium. RNAcentral describes it as "partial 16S ribosomal RNA". It matches the Rfam family "Bacterial small subunit ribosomal RNA", at positions 1238 to 1500 of the family's 1533-position model. The record is from RNAcentral.
UACAAAGAGAAGCAAGACCGCGAGGUUUAGCAAAUCUCUUAAAGCCGUUCUCAGUUCGGAUUGUAGGCUGCAACUCGCCUACAUGAAGUCGGAAUCGCUAGUAAUCGCGGAUCAGCAUGCCGCGGUGAAUACGUUCCCGGGCCUUGUACACACCGCCCGUCACACCAUGAGAGUUUGUAACACCCAAAGCCGGUGGGGUAACCUUUUGGAGCCAGCCGUCUAAGGUGGGACAGAUGAUUAGGGUGAAGUCGUAACAAGGUAUC